Bufo gargarizans (Asiatic toad) is the source of this 1086-nucleotide long non-coding RNA. RefSeq lists it as uncharacterized. Lineage: Eukaryota; Metazoa; Chordata; Amphibia; Anura; Bufonidae. The record is from RefSeq and is a predicted model, not a curated record. The transcript has 2 exons.
GAAGAUUAUCAGGAACUCAUAGAGGAUAUUGUCCGAGACGGGAGAUUAUACGCAUCGGAGAAUCACCAGGAGAUAUUAAAGGAUAAGAAGCUGAUUAAGGCGCUGUUUGAAGUCCUCGCGCACCCCCAGAACUACUUCAAAUACACGGCUCAGGAAUCCAGGGAAAUGUUCCCGAAAUCCUUCAUCAGACUACUGCGUGCCAAAGUCUCAAGAUUCCUGCGGCCUUAAAAAUAAUGUGUGACCUGGGAGACACUGAACCAGGGUCUGAUCCCCGCUGCACCAUUAUAAUGCUCCGGCCCGCGCUUCUUUAAACCUCCUGAGAGGAAAGGGACUGUUUGUAAUCGGAUGACGCGUCUUCUCCCCGGGGUCAGUGUUGGGAUUCCUGACCAGAUUCGCUUCAUUCGCCGAUAUUGGUGACGCUUCAGCUGCUGUACUUUAGGUUGAAUCUGCUAAAAUUUACCUUAAACUAUGACAACGUCUCAAUGCAUCUUUCAAGUCAUCAGCAACAUCUGAGACGGCUGCGCUUGAUGGACUUUCCUUGUAGUAAUUAUGCGUUUUAUGACCAAAGGAGUCAAAUCUGUCACCGCUGGGCUUGUAGUGUCAGGUGGAGGCUGUAAAGCAUAUGGUCUGCAUCAUCAGUAGCAUGCAAGAAACGAGAAACAAGUCGCAUUCAAUCCAGUGCCUGGGGUUCUCUAUGGGAUAAAGGAGACUGUGUCAUGAAUUCCACGGAUUUGCUGGCAGCUUACUGACACUGAGCUGAAGCUUCAUAUUUUUUCUUUUUACCCUCAUUGGUGGACCAUGUUAUAGAAGUCCAUUUAUCACCUUGGACCAGACAAUUUCUAGUCCUAAAUGUCACAAAAAUAUUUGAAUGUGCACAAAAAUGGCAAAUGGCCAGUGAGCUCUUCUCCAGGAGGUCAAUGACUUACAGUGCAGGACACUGAGAUGGACUGGACUGGUGGGGGGGACUGAGGUUUAUCACACUCUGCAGAGCAUUGCGCACUGUGCAGAGGAAGUCCUUCCAUGUAUUUGGCUGUAAAUGUUGUACAGAAUUUUUACUCACUAUAAAUAUACAUCGUACACUCUUUA